This 585-nucleotide ribosomal RNA is filed under the name uncultured bacterium. RNAcentral's name for it is "partial 16S ribosomal RNA". It matches the Rfam family "Bacterial small subunit ribosomal RNA", at positions 355 to 937 of the family's 1533-position model. The record is from RNAcentral.
UGGGGAAUUUUGGACAAUGGGCGAAAGCCUGAUCCAGCAAUGCCGCGUGUGUGAAGAAGGCCUUCGGGUUGUAAAGCACUUUUGUCCGGAAAGAAAUCCUCUGGGUUAAUACCUCGGGGGGAUGACGGUACCGGAAGAAUAAGCACCGGCUAACUACGUGCCAGCAGCCGCAGUAAUACGUAGGGUGCAAGCGUUAAUCGGAAUUACUGGGCGUAAAGCGUGCGCAGGCGGUUUUGUAAGACGGAUGUGAAAUCCCCGGGCUUAACCUGGGAACUGCAUUCGUGACUGCAAGGCUAGAGUAUGGCAGAGGGGGGUUAGAAUUCCACGUGUAGCAGUGAAAUGCGUAGAGAUGUGGAGGAAUACCGAUGGCGAAGGCAGCCCCCUGGGCCAAUAUUGACGCUCAUGCACGAAAGCGUGGGGAGCAAACAGGAUUAGAUACCCUGGUAGUCCACGCCCUAAACGAUGUCAACUAGUUGUUGGGGAUUCAUUUCCUUAGUAACGUAGCUAACGCGUGAAGUUGACCGCCUGGGGAGUACGGUCGCAAGAUUAAAACUCAAAUGAAUUGACGGGGUCAUAGCUGUUUCC